Molecule: ribosomal RNA, 459 nt
Filed under: uncultured bacterium
Lineage: Bacteria
Description: partial 16S ribosomal RNA
Rfam family: Bacterial small subunit ribosomal RNA
Source: RNAcentral
CCUACGGGAGGCAGCAGUGAGGAAUAUUGGUCAAUGGCCGCAGGGCUGAACCAGCCAAGUCGCGUGAGGGAUGACGGUCCUAUGGAUUGUAAACCUCUUUUGUCAGGGAACAAAGGCGGGGACUAGUCCCCGGAUGAGGGUACCUGAAGAAAAAGCAUCGGCUAACUCCGUUCCAGCAGCCGCGGUAAUACGGAGGAUGCGAGCGUUAUCCGGAUUUAUUGGGUUUAAAGGGUGCGCAGGCGGCCUGUUAAGUCAGCGGUAAAAGCCCGGGGCUCAACCCCGGCGAGCCGUUGAAACUGGCGGGCUGGAGUUGGAGAGAAGGACGCGGAAUGCGCGGGGUAGCGGUGAAAUGCUUAGAUAUCGCGCAGAACCCCGAUUGCGAAGGCAGCGUACCGGCUCCACACUGACGCUGAGGCACGAAAGCGUGGGUAUCGAACAGGAUUAGAGACCCCAGUAGUC